AGAGUUUGAUCCUGGCUCAGAUUGAACGCUGGCGGCAUGCCUUACACAUGCAAGUCGAACGGCAGCACGGGAGCAAUCCUGGUGGCGAGUGGCGAACGGGUGAGUAAUAUAUUCCGGAACGUGCCCAGUCGUGGGGGAUAACGCAGCGAAAGCUGUGCUAAUACCGCAUACGAUCUAAGGAUGAAAGCGGGGGACCGUAAGGCCUCGCGCGAUCGGAGCGGCCGAUGUCAGAUUAGGUAGUUGGUGGGGUAAAGGCUCACCAAGCCGACGAUCUGUAGCUGGUCUGAGAGGACGACCAGCCACACUGGGACUGAGACACGGCCCAGACUCCUACGGGAGGCAGCAGUGGGGAAUUUUGGACAAUGGGCGCAAGCCUGAUCCAGCAAUGCCGCGUGCAGGAAGAAGGCCUUCGGGUUGUAAACUGCUUUUGUACGGAGCGAAAAGGCUCUCUCUAAUACAGGGGGCUCAUGACGGUACCGUAAGAAUAAGCACCGGCUAACUACGUGCCAGCAGCCGCGGUAAUACGUAGGGUGCGAGCGUUAAUCGGAAUUACUGGGCGUAAAGCGUGCGCAGGCGGUUUUGUAAGACAGGCGUGAAAUCCCCGGGCUCAACCUGGGAAUGGCGCUUGUGACUGCAAAGCUGGAGUGCGGCAGAGGGGGAUGGAAUUCCGCGUGUAGCGGUGAAAUGCGUAGAUAUGCNGAGGAACACCGAUGGCGAANGCAAUCCCCUGGGCCUGCACUGACGCUCAUGCACGAAAGCGUGGGGAGCAAACAGGAUUAGAUACC
Molecule: ribosomal RNA, 785 nt
Filed under: uncultured Pseudomonadota bacterium
Lineage: Bacteria; Pseudomonadati; Pseudomonadota
Description: bacterial SSU rRNA
Rfam family: Bacterial small subunit ribosomal RNA
Source: RNAcentral